UUUUAUUUGAGAGUUUGAUCCUGGCUCAGGAUGAACGCUGGCGGCGUGCCUAACACAUGCAAGUUGAGCGAUUUACUUCGGUAAAGAGCGGCGGACGGGUGAGUAACGCGUGGGUAACCUACCCUGUACACACGGAUAACAUACCGAAAGGUAUGCUAAUACGGGAUAAUAUAUUUGAGAGGCAUCUCUUAAAUAUCAAAGGUGAGCCAGUACAGGAUGGACCCGCGUCUGAUUAGCUAGUUGGGAAGGUAACGGCUUACCAAGGCGACGAUCAGUAGCCGACCUGAGAGGGUGAUCGGCCACAUUGGAACUGAGACACGGUCCAAACUCCUACGGGAGGCAGCAGUGGGGAAGAUUGCACAAUGGGCGAAAGCCUGAUGCAGCAACGCCGCG
Molecule: ribosomal RNA, 393 nt
Filed under: Clostridioides difficile
Lineage: Bacteria; Bacillati; Bacillota; Clostridia; Peptostreptococcales; Peptostreptococcaceae
Description: bacterial SSU rRNA
Rfam family: Bacterial small subunit ribosomal RNA
Source: RNAcentral